CAUGCAGUCGAACGAUGAAGCCCUUCGGGGUGGAUUAGUGGCGAACGGGUGAGUAACACGUGGGCAAUCUGCCCUUCACUCUGGGACAAGCCCUGGAAACGGGGUCUAAUACCGGAUAUGACCAUCUUGGGCAUCCUUGAUGGUGUAAAGCUCCGGCGGUGAAGGAUGAGCCCGCGGCCUAUCAGCUUGUUGGUGAGGUAAUGGCUCACCAAGGCGACGACGGGUAGCCGGCCUGAGAGGGCGACCGGCCACACUGGGACUGAGACACGGCCCAGACUCCUACGGGAGGCAGCAGUGGGGAAUAUUGCACAAUGGGCGAAAGCCUGAUGCAGCGACGCCGCGUGAGGGAUGACGGCCUUCGGGUUGUAAACCUCUUUCAGCAGGGAAGAAGCGAGAGUGACGGUACCUGCAGAAGAAGCGCCGGCUAACUACGUGCCAGCAGCCGCGGUAAUACGUAGGGCGCAAGCGUUGUCCGGAAUUAUUGGGCGUAAAGAGCUCGUAGGCGGCUUGUCACGUCGGGUGUGAAAGCCCGGGGCUUAACCCCGGGUCUGCAUUCGAUACGGGCUAGCUAGAGUGUGGUAGGGGAGAUCGGAAUUCCUGGUGUAGCGGUGAAAUGCGCAGAUAUCAGGAGGAACACCGGUGGCGAAGGCGGAUCUCUGGGCCAUUACUGACGCUGAGGAGCGAAAGCGUGGGGAGCGAACAGGAUUAGAUACCCUGGUAGUCCACGCCGUAAACGGUGGGAACUAGGUGUUGGCGACAUUCCACGUCGUCGGUGCCGCAGCUAACGCAUUAAGUUCCCCGCCUGGGGAGUACGGCCGCAAGGCUAAAACUCAAAGGAAUUUGACGGGGGCCCGCACAAGCAGCGGAGCAUGUGGCUUAAUUUCGACGCAACGC
Molecule: ribosomal RNA, 894 nt
Filed under: Streptomyces sp.
Lineage: Bacteria; Bacillati; Actinomycetota; Actinomycetes; Kitasatosporales; Streptomycetaceae
Description: bacterial SSU rRNA
Rfam family: Bacterial small subunit ribosomal RNA
Source: RNAcentral